Molecule: long non-coding RNA, 668 nt
Filed under: Homo sapiens (human)
Lineage: Eukaryota; Metazoa; Chordata; Mammalia; Primates; Hominidae
Description: novel transcript
Source: RNAcentral
CAGUAAUUUCCUUCCAAAUAAGUUCACAUGUAAUAAGUAGAAAUUCUGUACAGGAAAAAAGCAUUAAAAAUACUAUUAUAACUGCUUCAUUUGCUGGGAACCAUUACAAGUAGUAUAAAUUAGCUUUUUCCAGAAGGAUCCUCUUGUAGCAGGGUUUAUGAAUGUAACCCCCAGCAAAAUGUGACUAUAUAUUAGGAGAGCCAGUUUGGAGCAGAGGCCUGAAGGUCCCUGCUAUGCAGCCGUGGCCACAGCUCACAGCACCAGUGCUGUGGAGCAUCCACACCUUUGAUGGCAAUGCAGAGUGAUAGCAGGUUCCAUAGGUGUGACAAAACAGCAUUAAAGCUCAGUAUUUUGCAUAUUUUUAGCAUUUAAAAAUAUUUUUGCUUUAGUGUGAGGAAAGUAAGGAUGGGCAAAGAGGCGAUCAAAAUAGCUAUUGCUAUGACAUUUUAGAAAACAAAGUUGGGGCCGUAUUUCUUUAAAAAGAUAAGCCUCUAAAAAUGCUUGGCAAAAAAACUAUAGUGUUAAAAUAGGCCAGUGAUAUUAAUGAGAAAAUGAAAGUAUAUAUCAGGAAUAAAGUGAUAUUGCAUAGGAGUAUUGUAUUUUUAUGAAUUUUGUGCCAGUUGUUUACAUGUACUAUAUAUGUUAAAUAAAAAAAUCAUGAAAAAUGA